AUGAAGUGGCGCCAAGCUUCUGGCAUUCUCUAUGACAAGAGAGUGCCACAAAAGCUAAAAGGCAAGUUCUACAGGACGGCGGUUCGACCCGCAAUGUUGUAUGGCGCUGAGUGUUGGCCGACUAAAAGGCGACAUGUUCAACAGUUAGGUGUGGCGGAGAUGCGUAUGUUGAGAUGGAUGUGUGGCCACACGAGGAAGGAUCGAGUCCGGAAUGAUGAUAUACGAGAUAGAGUUGGGGUAGCACCAAUUGAAGAGAAGCUUGUCCAACAUCGUCUGAGAUGGUUUGGGCAUAUUCAGCGCAGGCCUCCAGAAGCUCCGGUGCAUAGUGGACGGCUAAAGCGUGCGGAGAAUGUCAAGAGAGGGCGGGGUAGACCGAAUUUGACAUAG
This 387-nucleotide ribosomal RNA is filed under the name Triticum aestivum (bread wheat). RNAcentral describes it as "partial small subunit ribosomal RNA". The record is from RNAcentral. Lineage: Eukaryota; Viridiplantae; Streptophyta; Magnoliopsida; Poales; Poaceae.